AACGGGUGAGUAACACGUGGGCAAUCUGCCCUUCACUCUGGGACAAGCCCUGGAAACGGGGUCUAAUACCGGAUACCACUUCCACUCGCAUGGGUGGAGGUUGAAAGCUCCGGCGGUGAAGGAUGAGCCCGCGGCCUAUCAGCUUGUUGGUGAGGUAACGGCUCACCAAGGCGACGACGGGUAGCCGGCCUGAGAGGGCGACCGGCCACACUGGGACUGAGACACGGCCCAGACUCCUACGGGAGGCAGCAGUGGGGAAUAUUGCACAAUGGGCGAAAGCCUGAUGCAGCGACGCCGCGUGAGGGAUGACGGCCUUCGGGUUGUAAACCUCUUUCAGCAGGGAAGAAGCGAAAGUGACGGUACCUGCAGAAGAAGCGCCGGCUAACUACGUGCCAGCAGCCGCGGUAAUACGUAGGGCGCAAGCGUUGUCCGGAAUUAUUGGGCGUAAAGAGCUCGUAGGCGGUCUGUCGCGUCGGAUGUGAAAGCCCGGGGCUUAACCCCGGGUCUGCAUUCAAUACGGGCAGACUAGAGUGUGGUAGGGGAGAUCGGAAUUCCUGGUGUAGCGGUGAAAUGCGCAGAUAUCAGGAGGAACACCGGUGGCGAAGGCGGAUCUCUGGGCCAUUUACUGACGCUGAGGAGCGAAAGCGUGGGGGAGCGAACAAGAUUAGAUACUCCUGGGUAGCUCCACGCCGUAAACGGUGGGAACU
Molecule: ribosomal RNA, 707 nt
Filed under: Streptomyces sp.
Lineage: Bacteria; Bacillati; Actinomycetota; Actinomycetes; Kitasatosporales; Streptomycetaceae
Description: bacterial SSU rRNA
Rfam family: Bacterial small subunit ribosomal RNA
Source: RNAcentral